CUGUUUGGGACAUGUGAUAUCUGUUAAAUUUAACACAAAUUUUGCACCUGUGUAUGCAUAUGUAAAAUGGUAAUUGUUUAGCACUUCAGCAUCUAUUUAUUAAAAUAUACACUGUGGUUUCGAUUAAUGAAAGUAAUUUAUUAACACCACUCGAAUACAGCGAAAUAUCGUACACGGAUCGGCAACGCCUUGGAGGACUCGGCCUCUGGACCUACCGUGCGUAUAACAAGUCAGACUUGUUCGAAUUCGGAACGGAUUUUUGUUAAAGACGCGUGGUCUAUCGCUCGACCUCUCGAUCGGUUCUGGUUGCUCGCAAUACCCGCUCAUCACGACAGCUCAACUCUCAAAGGUGAUUCGCGGAUUUAGUUAUAAGGAGGACCCAAUAAGAAGGCUGCAAUCAUUUCUAUUGGAUGGUCGGCAUUGAACAAUCAGAUCCGAUAAGUCGCUCUGAUCAGACACCGCAAGAUUGUGGCAUCGUUGGUCUUGACGGCGCGACGGAUUCAGAGGAACCGCCGCUACCGCGAGCAGAGUGAUUUGUGACACUCUUCGCAUAACAAACUCGCUAUUUGAUAUAAAACGAUUCGCGCUAUCUUUGAUAAAUUAAGGAUUACCUUGGAUAAAGAGAACACGUCCAUACCACGCAACAACACGCUGACACGAUGAAAGAACCAGUAAGAACUGAAAAGAACGCAAGAAUGCCAACAACGAAAA
This 711-nucleotide long non-coding RNA is filed under the name Ooceraea biroi (clonal raider ant). RNAcentral's name for it is "uncharacterized LOC105280877". Lineage: Eukaryota; Metazoa; Arthropoda; Insecta; Hymenoptera; Formicidae. The record is from RNAcentral.